GGUUGACUUAUACGACCGUAGGUUGUUUCUUGAUUCUAGAAUUUUUUAGGUACUCGAAGAGGACUCUUAGGUUGAGCUCAUGAUGACUGAAAGUGGCUAAUUGGAAUAGCAUAUUUGCCCAGACUUUUUCGAUGCUCAAUAUUUAUUGAAUUUCAAAAUUCUUAAAAGCCAAAAAUAGCUCCUCGAGUCUUAUAAGUAUUUGAUCAUUGUUGGCUUCUGCAGGAGCUACCUCCCAAUUAUAGGUGCUGAUUGGU
RNAcentral lists this long non-coding RNA (254 nucleotides) under Elaeis guineensis (African oil palm). RNAcentral describes it as "long non-coding RNA (EGUI_LNC028500)". The record is from RNAcentral. Lineage: Eukaryota; Viridiplantae; Streptophyta; Magnoliopsida; Arecales; Arecaceae.